CUUCCGUUUCUGCUGACAAACUAAAGCUUGGAACUUUGAAGAGUUUAUUAGCCGGAUUGCUGAUUCUUCAAUUUCCAGUCUCUUUCCUUCACUUUCUCUGCUUCCAAACGAAGAACAAUAUAGUGUAGGAUUAUAUUGUUCGUUAAAAGAAAUGAAUUAUAGAUUCCAAAAUUUGCUAGGAGCUCCCUACAGAGGAGGCAACGCUAUAAUCACCCAAAAUACCCAAUUAAUCUCUCCGGUUGGUAAUCGUGUUUCCAUCACUGACCUUGUAAAAUCCCAAACCAUAACCCUUCCUGUCCAAUCAUCCUCUAACAUCCGCCGUCUCGCUGCCUCCCCCGACGGCACCUUUCUUCUUACUGUUGACGAGAACAACCGCUGCCAUUUCAUUAAUAUACCACGCCGCGUGGUCCUCCACCGUAUAACUUUCAAAAAACCCGUAAAUGCCAUCAGGUUUAGCCCCGACGGCAAGUUCAUUGCGGUUGCCACAGGAAAAUUGGUCCAAAUAUGGAGGUCCCCGGGGUUCAAGAAGGAAUAUUUCGCCUUCGAAUUGGUUAGGACUCUUGCGGACUGCGAGGACACGGUUACGGCUUUGGAUUGGAAUUUAGAUUGUAAGUAUUUGUUAGUAGGGUCCAAGGACUUGACUGCGAGACUUUUUUGUGUUGAGAAAUUGCAGGAAGGGAUUUUGAAUAAGCCUUUUUUGUUUUUGGGGCAUAGAGAUGCAGUUGUUGGGUGUUUCUUUGGUUUUGAUAAGAAAACGAAAAAUGUUGAUAAGGUUUAUACAAUUGCCCGUGAUGGUUAUAUUUUUAGCUGGAGUUAUAAUGGCAAUGAUGAUAAAUUCAGCGAUGACGAUGAGCAAGAUUCAGAGCCACCCUCUCCAGGGACACCAGAGCGUGAUGGCAAAGGGAAUUUGGAUAGUGGAAGCCAGAGUAACCUGAAAAAAAGAAAGGAUUUUGAUGGGAAGGAUGGUAAUUUGGGUGUAAAAGAGGGUUAUUUGCAUAAAGGGAAAUGGGAAUUGCUAAGGAAAGAUGGGUUUAUGCAAUCUCAAACAAAAUUGACUGCUUGUGAUUACCAUAGCUUGCUUGAUAUGGUGGUAGUAGGGUUUUCUAAUGGUGUCUUUGGGUUAUACCAAAUGCCAGAUUUUGUUUGCAUUCAUCUGUUGUCAAUUUCGAGGGAAAAGAUUACUACUGCUGUGUUUAAUGAGACCGGGAAUUGGUUAACAUUUGGAUGUGCAAAGUUAGGGCAACUGCUUGUGUGGGAAUGGCGGUCAGAGAGUUAUAUAUUGAAGCAACAAGGGCAUUACUUUGAUGUGAAUUGCUUGGCUUAUUCACCAGAUUCACAAUUAUUGGCUACUGGGGCAGAUGAUAACAAAGUGAAGGUGUGGACUGUUUCAUCAGGCUUUUGUUUUGUAACAUUCUCAGAGCACACUAAUGCAGUUACUGCACUCCAUUUUAUGGCUAAUAACCAUUGUCUUUUGAGUGCAUCAUUGGAUGGGACAGUUCGUGCAUGGGAUUUAUUUCGCUAUCGAAAUUUUAGGACAUUUACCACCCCUUCUUCAAGGCAGUUUGUUUCUUUAGCAGCAGACCAAAGUGGUGAAGUAAUUUGUGCAGGAACUUUGGAUUCUUUUGAGAUAUUUGUUUGGUCAAUGAAGACCGGCCGUUUGUUGGAUGUCCUUAGUGGACAUGAAGGCCCUGUGCAUGGAUUGAUGUUUUCUUCUACAAAUGCAGUGUUAGCUUCAUCAUCAUGGGACAAAACUGUUCGCUUGUGGGAUGUUUUUGAAGGAAAAGGUGCUGUUGAAACAUUUUCUCAUACGCAUGAUGUUCUUACGGUAGUUUAUCGCCCAGAUGGCAGGCAAUUGGCUUGCAGCACCUUAGAUGGGCAGAUUCAUUUCUGGGACCCUAUCAAUGGCUUGUUAAUGUACACCAUUGAGGGCCGUAGGGAUAUUGCUGGAGGACGCCUCAUGACUGAUCGUAGAUCAGCUGCUAAUUCAACUGCAGGAAAGUGCUUCACAACUUUAUGCUAUUCUGCAGAUGGAAGUUGCAUACUAGCUGGUGGAAGUAGCAAAUACAUCUGUAUGUAUGAUGUUGCUGAUCAGGUUCUUUUGCGCCGUUUUCAGAUAACCCACAACCUCUCACUAGAUGGAGUGCUUGAUUUCUUGAACUCAAAGAAAAUGACAGAUGCUGGUCCACUUGAUUUAAUUGAUGAUAAUGACUCUGAUACAGAAGAAGGUGUUGAUAAACAAGUUCGCGGAAAGUUGGGUUAUGAUUUACCAGGGUCCAUGCCCAAUCGUGGAAGGCCUAUUAUUCGAACAAAAUGCCUGAGAAUUGCACCCACUGGUAGGAACUUUUCUGUGGCAACAACGGAAGGAGUUCUAGUUUAUUCAAUUGAUGAAUCUUUUAUCUUUGAUCCCACGGAUCUUGACAUAGAUGUUACACCAGAGGCAGUUGAUGAAGCACUAAAUGAGGAUCAACCAAACAGAGCUUUGAUUAUCAGCCUUCGCCUGAAUGAGGAUUCUCUAAUAAAGAAGUGCAUUUUUGCUGUCAACCCAUUAGAUAUACCAGUUGUCGCCUCCUCAGUCCCUUACAGAUAUCUACAAAGGUUAAUAGAGGCACUUGCUGAUCUUUUGGAAAGCUGUCCACACUUGGAGUUCAUACUUCGUUGGUGUCAGGUACUUUCCUGGAUAUUCAACUUCUGUAAAUACGAAUUGUUACUGGUAUCCAUAUCUAACUUACAGGAGCUAUGCAAAGCUCAUGGUAACUCUAUUCAACAGAAUUCCAGAAAUCUUCUUCCUUAUUUAAAAUCUUUGCACAAGGCAAUUACCCGAAUACAUCAGGAUUUGGCAGAUACUUGUUCUUCUAAUGAAUAUUUGCUCCGAUAUUUAUGCUCUGCGAGCAAUAAGAAAUGAUGGGCACAUUACAAUAUUGGUAAAGAGUAACUUUGACACCUGUUCGUUAGCAUCUAGUGUCUGUGGCUUCACAUGACAUAACUUCUACAGAAGGUUCAAUUCAUUGGGAAGAACAUACGGCAAGCUCUUUCUUUUUUUUCUAUUGCAUAUGUUGGCAAUGCUGAAUUGCUGAUGGCUCCGAAAGUGCUGUUAAAGUGAUUUUGUUACUGGAAACAUCCAAAUUAUAAGCGUUCCUGUAUAAUAUGCUGUUGUAUAUAUGGAAAUUUUGAUUAUCCUUUUCCCUUUUUUUCAUUUCUUCCUAAGAAAAUACUUCAUUUAGUGGCUGUAUUUCUGUUUCAAGAAUAGAUUGCAAAAUUAUGUAUUGC
RNAcentral lists this unclassified non-coding RNA (3267 nucleotides) under Hevea brasiliensis (rubber tree). The record is from RNAcentral. Lineage: Eukaryota; Viridiplantae; Streptophyta; Magnoliopsida; Malpighiales; Euphorbiaceae.